RNAcentral lists this ribosomal RNA (686 nucleotides) under Barleria repens. Its description in RNAcentral is "eukaryotic LSU rRNA". The stretch from base 255 to 410 matches the Rfam family "5.8S ribosomal RNA". Lineage: Eukaryota; Viridiplantae; Streptophyta; Magnoliopsida; Lamiales; Acanthaceae. The record is from RNAcentral.
RNSGUAGAACUGCGGAAGGAUCAUUGUCGAUGCCUGAAACGAGCAGACCGCGAACGCGCUGUACCCGAACGCCCCGCAGGUCGGGGGGGACGUGGCGUGCCCCCGGGCCCGUCGCCGUCCCGCCCGGCCCUAACGAACCCCGGCGCGGAAAGCGCCAAGGAAAACCGUAACGAAGCGCCCGUCCCCCCCGCUCGAGUCCCGUCCGCGGCGCGCGCGGGCGGGGGCGGUCCGGAACGCCUCAUCUAUGUCGGAACGACUCUCGGCAACGGAUAUCUCGGCUCUCGCAUCGAUGAAGAACGUAGCGAAAUGCGAUACUUGGUGUGAAUUGCAGAAUCCCGUGAACCAUCGAGUCUUUGAACGCAAGUUGCGCCCGAGGCCUUCGGGCCGAGGGCACGCCUGCCUGGGCGUCACGCAUCGCGUCGCCCCCCUCCCCCGCCCCCCGAGACGGGGCGGCAGUGGCGGGGUGUGCGGAGAUUGGCCUCCCGUGCGCCUCGGCGUGCGGCCGGCCUAAAUGCGAUCCCCCGGCGGCGUCCGUCGCGACCAGUGGUGGUUGAACCCUCAACUCUCGCGCUGUCCGUCGCGCUCCGCGGCGCCGCCCGGCCGGGCAUCACGAACGACCCCUGGACGCGCCCCUAACCCUAAGGGUGCGCCUCCGACCGCGACCCCAGGUCAGGCGGGAUUACCCG